UAGGGAAUCUUCCACAAUGGACGCAAGUCUGAUGGAGCAACGCCGCGUGAGUGAAGAAGGUUUUCGGAUCGUAAAGCUCUGUUGUUGGUGAAGAAGGAUAGAGGCAGUAACUGGUCUUUAUUUGACGGUAAUCAACCAGAAAGUCACGGCUAACUACGUGCCAGCAGCCGCGGUAAUACGUAGGUGGCAAGCGUUGUCCGGAUUUAUUGGGCGUAAAGCGAGCGCAGGCGGAAUGAUAAGUCUGAUGUGAAAGCCCACGGCUCAACCGUGGAACUGCAUCGGAAACUGCCAUUCUUGAGUGCAGAAGAGGAGAGUGGAAUUCCAUGUGUAGCGGUGGAAUGCGUAGAUAUAUGGAAGAACACCAGUGGCGAAGGCGGCUCUCUGGUCUGCAACUGACGCUGAGGCUCGAAAGCAUGGGUAGCGAACAGG
This 429-nucleotide ribosomal RNA is filed under the name bacterium. RNAcentral's name for it is "partial 16S ribosomal RNA". It matches the Rfam family "Bacterial small subunit ribosomal RNA", at positions 355 to 776 of the family's 1533-position model. RNAcentral also lists the same sequence under 1 other name. The record is from RNAcentral.